Molecule: long non-coding RNA, 385 nt
Organism: Pungitius pungitius (ninespine stickleback)
Lineage: Eukaryota; Metazoa; Chordata; Actinopteri; Perciformes; Gasterosteidae
Exons: 3
Source: RefSeq, a predicted model, not a curated record
UGACAAGUCUUUCAAAAAGCAGCUAAAAUUCAGAGACUUCACACACCGCUACAAGGAGGUCACCGUUACUUUGGAAGUGGUCAACCCAGAACAACAAACAUGUGAAGCUUCUGUGUCCCCAGCAAACCAGAGGUGUUUGGAAUCUACUUGCCACAGACUGCCUGCAGUCAUUUCCAUUCCACAAUUCCCACAAGAUGUCCAGAGCCGCUUAGAUGCUAAAGAACCGGUCCACAAGAAACAAAAGUACCGUAACAAAAUAAUUUUGACUCUGUAUGACAUGCUGUCACAGUGUACAAUGUAUCCAACCAACUCGGACUACGUUCAGGUCGUUAAAGCGUUAAUUGUGAAGUACCCUUUCUUAAGGGAUGUACACGGGAAUGGUUAU